Molecule: small RNA, 766 nt
Filed under: Pan troglodytes (chimpanzee)
Lineage: Eukaryota; Metazoa; Chordata; Mammalia; Primates; Hominidae
Description: processed transcript
Source: RNAcentral
CUUUCCCCGUUUUAUCCCCGUACCAGAAAAGGAUACAUUUAGUGCCUCCCACCCAGCUCCACUAAACGGGUUGGAUAUCUCAUUCUUUGAGUCGGGGUUCCUUCCCCGGCGCCCCCAUGUAGCUGGGAAGUGGGACCUGGGGGUGGUUGGACCCCUGGGAUCCUAAAGGAGGGGCAGGGAGGGCGCAGAACUCCGCUUCUGCCCCUUUGUACCAGGACGCGCGGCCUCCUCAGCCUCUUUCCUCCCGCUGCCAUGCACCCUGCAGCCUUCCCGCUUCCUGUGGUUGUGGCCGCUGUGCUGUGGGGAGCGGCCCCGACCCGGGGGCUCAUUCGAGCGACCUCGGACCACAAUGCCAGCAUGGACUUUGCAGACCUUCCAGCUCUGUUUGGGGCUACCUUGAGCCAGGAGGGCCUCCAGGGGUUCCUUGUGGAGGCUCACCCAGACAAUGCCUGCAGCCCCAUUGCCCCACCACCCCCAGCCCCGGUCAAUGGGUCAGUCUUUAUUGCGCUGCUUCGAAGAUUCGACUGCAACUUUGACCUCAAGGUCCUAAAUGCCCAGAAGGCUGGAUAUGGUGCCGCUGUAGUACACAAUGUGAAUUCCAAUGAACUUCUGAACAUGGUGUGGAAUAGUGAGGAAAUCCAGCAGCAGAUCUGGAUCCCGUCUGUAUUUAUUGGGGAGAGAAGCUCCGAGUACCUGCGUGCCCUCUUUGUCUACGAGAAGGGGAGACCAGUAUGAUGUCUGUGCCAUUUGCCUGGAUGAAUAUGAG